GGAUGCCCUUAGAUGUUCUGGGCUGCACGCGCGCUACACUGACGAGCUCAGCGAGUUUAUCACCUUGGCAGAGAUGUCUGGGUAAUCUUGUUAAAGCUCGUCGUGAUGGGGAUAGAUGAUUGUAAUUAUUCGUCUUGAACGAGGAAUUCCUAGUAAGUGCGANUCAUCAG
Molecule: ribosomal RNA, 170 nt
Filed under: uncultured eukaryote
Lineage: Eukaryota
Description: partial 18S ribosomal RNA
Rfam family: Eukaryotic small subunit ribosomal RNA
Source: RNAcentral